Molecule: ribosomal RNA, 657 nt
Filed under: uncultured crenarchaeote
Lineage: Archaea; Thermoproteati; Thermoproteota
Description: bacterial SSU rRNA
Rfam family: Archaeal small subunit ribosomal RNA
Source: RNAcentral
AGGAUGGGACUGCGACCGAUCAGGCUGUUGGCGGGGUAAUGGCCCACCAAACCAGUAACCGGUACGGGCUUUGAGAGAAGGAGCCCGGAGAUGGACACUGAGACAAGGGUCCAGGUCCUACGGGGCGCAGCAGGCGCGAAACCUUCGCAAUGUGCGAAAGCAUGACGAGGUUAAUCCGAGUGGCAUCCGCUGAGGAAGUCUUUUGCCGGCUCUAAAACGGCCGGUGAAUAAGGGGAGGGCAAGCCUGGUGUCAGCCGCCGCGGUAAUACCAGCUCCUCGAGUGGUCGGGGCGAUUAUUGGGCCUAAAGCAUCCGUAGCCGGUUCCGUAGGUCCUCUGUUAAAUCCAGCCGCUUAACGGUUGGCCUGCAGAGGAUACCGCGGGACUAGGAGGCGGGAGAGGCGGGCGGUACUCUACGUGUAGGGGUAAAAUCCUUUGAUCCGUAGAAGACCACCAGUGGCGAAGGCGGCCCGCCAGAACGCGCUCGACGGUGAGGGAUGAAAGCUGGGGGAGCGAACCGGAUUAGAUACCCGGGUAGUCCCAGCCGUAAACGAUGCGAGCUAGAUGAUCCAGUCGCAAAUCGCGAUUGGAGUGUCGCAGGGAAGCCGUUAAGCUCGCCGCCUGGGGAGUACGGUCGCAAGACUGAAACUUAAAGGAAU